CUUGUUUUGAACACGGCAUCAAAUUUUUUAGGUAAUUAUUGGUCUAUUUUUACAGUAUGUUUAUGAUAAAAACAGAAAGAACCAUAUUUGAAAAAAACAUAUAACCGGGUCAAAUGAGAAUUAAAUACCUUUACUUUUAUUUUAGUCUGUACUCUGUACUGUUCCAUCAUUAAAUAAAUUGUCAAUUUAUUCAAUGAAUUAUAAUUGUUUCGUUUAUACACAUCAACCACCACCUCUAUUUACAACGAAGAAUAAGUACAUCCCUUGGUAUAUAUAUACACAUCAGAAAUUGCAGCACAAGUCAAUUGACCUAUGAACAUGUAUGAAUGUUUAUCAUUUCAUUUCAAAUAAACAAUUGUCCCAGAUGAGCACUUUUGUUUAUCAUUUCAUUUCAAAUAAACAAUUGUCCCAGAUGAGCAUUUUGUUUUCUUUAAGGCAAUGGCUAUGGUUACAGUAGAGUCCCCAGUAUCUGCGUGGCCAAUGAUACCAUGCAUUAGGUGAUUUCGUCAUAUCAACACAGUUGCACAAGUAAAAUGGUUCUUGUUAAUGUUUUAGCAUUCUGAAGGGAUAAAGAAGAAUAAAAUCGAUAAGUUCAAGAGUUAAGUAAUAACUGCAAUCCCGUGAUUUACAAUAUUUUGGCCAAUUUCCUUUAAAAAAAUUACAUCUUCAGAUAAAAUUUGUUUUAAUUAAGUCAAAUUUAUAUCAGAUUGAAAUAAUUUUUGCUCUGCAUCCUUUGCAGUGUUCUUGAUUCAAAUUCAGCUAUAUUUCGUUUCCAAAAAUCUUUUCCUUAUUCAAAAUAAUCUAUUUUUGGAAGGCAUGCGCGAAAUCACCAGACAUUUGAGGAACUCUCAGAACAGGGGUUUCCCUAAUUUUGGUCACACAUUACACAAAAUCUUGAGGGUGAAACCAUACAAACAGAUACUUCUAUGAAAUAAUAGGUAUAUGAAUGUGUUUACACAAUAUUAUCCAAUUACUGGUUUUAUCAGUUGAAUGAAGUGAAGUCAUAAGUCUUACAUGUCUUAGGUGCGGGGAUACACUGGACUUCACCGAACAUGGAAAUGUAACAAUUAUAAAAACAUUAUCAUGAUUAUUGUUACAUUAGACACUAAUUACCAAUGAUUACUGGAAUAAAAGGUUGGACUAAAAAAUCAAAGAACCAUGAUAACAUAUGUAUGUAACAUGUUUCAAAGGGACAAUAUACACCAUUAGUCAUGUUAGUUAAAAUGUAUAAAAGUUCUAUUGAUAUUACUUUUUUCUAUAUGUAUAUACUUAAUUAUAACAGUUCAUAGUUUGUCAAUUUUGCAUAGUACACCUAUAUGUUAUUACAGAAAAGUUAUGCCUGAAAUAACCAGUCAGGGGACUUACUGAAAUAAGUGAUUUUUAAAUCACUUAUUUGAGUAGCAAAAUUGAAGUUUUGUCACAAAUUGUGAUUUUGUAGUUUUACCAAAAUUUUAAACACAUAGGUUUUAAUAAUAUCUUUUCUUUAAUAAAAUUGGAAAAAAUUAACUUUUCUCUUCUUUUAUGUAGCAAGGUUUAUGCCUUUGAUGCUAUCAUUUAUCUGCAAAUUCUAUUUUAGUUGAAAAAAUGCUAUAAUAAUGGCUUUAGAUAAUAAACUCAUACUUUCUUAACAGAUUUUUCCCAGCAGUGGGAGUAUUUUUCCUGUAAAGUUCAAGGUUUCACCUUUCAGAUUAUGUAAUAAACUUCUUCUGUUCGCGAUAAAAAUUUCACUGUUCGGUGGUGUUGAAAUUAGUGGGGGUUAUUAAAAUAAUGAUACUUAAAGAAGUGAUUUUUGGGAAGGAAAUUGAGGUAUGAUACUUAAACAAGUGAUUUUUAUGUCAUUAUCCUAGAUUCAGUACAAGGUCAUCACCUGAAAUGACCUGGUCAUCCUAGACAACACAGAUGUUGGUUCUGAUAAGUUUAGAAACAUAAUUAGUCCCUGGAUCAUUAGUAUUCUAUAUUUAAAGCUAUAAUAAAAUUCAAUAACUUCUUCUAGUGAUUAAUUUGUACUACUUAAAUAGGUGAUUAUUAAAGAAAGACAACUCUAACUUCCAAUCUGUAUGGAAAUAAUGUUACUUAAAUCAGUGAUUUAGAAAAUCACUCAUUUAAGUAAGUCCCCUGACUGAUAACUAAAGGGUGUUAUCACAGCUUCUCUAUAUCACUUCAAAGCAUUUGCUCAGACAUAAAUGUACAUCAUGCUUAAUUAAAUUACAAUGUAGUUAAAUUUAUUGUAAGAGAUAAUGACCAGAGCAUAUGAUAUAAGGUUCUGCUCAAGUUUCUCAGUAAUUCCCAAGUGUCUUAUAUAAUAAGUUACAAAAAUGUACAUUCCUUUAAUAACUGAGCCUUGUUAUCACAGCUAAGUUUAUCCCUUAAUAGCCUCGACUCAAUAAUUUUCCAUGGCCCAUCAAAAAUGUAUUACCGGUAAUUUAAUUAAAAAAACUGUUAUCAAGACUAUGCAUUUAGUUUCUGCACAAAGUCUCAAGAGUUCCCUAGAGCCCACUAUAAAUGAAAUAAUUUUACAAAUAACAAGCAUAUGUUAUUACAGAUUUAGAAAAUUUAAAAAAAUGUUUAAAAUGAAAAUAUCUGUAAUAACACACCCAAGUUUUUUCCUGGAAUAACCCUAUAGAGUUAUAUAUCAUGUAUAUCUGACUGUUGAAGAAGUAAAUUUAAAUAUACUUAUAUAAGUAAAUUUGUAGGAUACUUAUGCAUGUAUAAAUACAAGUGAAUUUUAUUUACUUGUAUAGGUGAAAAUAAGAUUGGUUGGUUUAUGUCCCUUAGACAUUGGGAUUUUUUUACUUAUACAUGUUAUCAUGGUUAUACAUAAAUAUAAGUGAAAAAGUCAUCCUAUCUUCUUUUCAUAAAUUCUUAAUUAGGAUUUCUUUGCACUAAUAUAAUUUUUAAUUGUCUGCCCUUUGCAGAUGUCUUUCCUUAUCAUUUAAGUGUAAUUUCAUGGACAAUGGAAAUCCCAUUUGUCUGUUAUCUUCAGAACACUGGCUAUUUACAAGCCCCAAGGACAUGAAGGAGCAAUUUGUGAAGGCCUUGUGCAAAUACUUAAGAUCUUCUUGCAGCUAUAUCCACCAGAGUCUUAUUUUAUGAUGUACAUGUACAUGAUGUAGAUGUUAGCAACUAAAUUUCACUGUACAUUACAAAUUGUCUUCAACAAUAAGCAACACCCAUACUGCAUCAUGUGCAUAGUCGACUUUAAUAGACCCAAACAUGAAAAAAAAUAUAAAAAUGUGAAAAAGAAAACCAAUGGCAAGACUUAUGACAAAACAGUAACGAAACACAAAUAUCAUGAAUAUAUUAUAUAUAUAACAGACAGAAACCAACAACAACGACUGAAUUAAGGGAACCAGAUUUUGGACAGGCACAUAAUCAUGAUAAUUCGAAUUUCCUUAAUUCACAUACAUUAUUUACAUAUACAUGUAUAUGUUACACUUCAACAUUGUAUAAUUGUUCAACAUGUUCAAUUACAUUUUUAAUCUGUCUUUUAUCAAUGUUUAUUUAGUUUGUGUAGUCAGGUAGUAUGAUUUUUAAUCUUUAAUCCUUUUUUUCCUUAGAUUUCAGAAAGCAUGGAAAGUGUACUUCAUUGACUCUGUUAACUGAAUCAUUUAUCAUGUUUAUAUUUCUUCUAGAAUCAUGUCAACAUCUGAAAGUGAAAUACCAAGAAAGGGUAAACAUGGUAAAACAAACACUACAUGCACUAGUUCAUCAUCUGAAACAUCAAGGAACACGAGGAAGCGUAAACAUUGUAAAACAUACACUAGUUCAUCAUCUGAAUCUACUGAUGAUAGUACAGGUCAUCCAACUAAAAAACCCUCAACUUCAGCAUAUUCAUCAUUAGCAUGGAAAAUUGAAGAUCUUGACCAACAGUCCAUUUUCUUUGCCACUGAAUAUUUGCCAGUGGAAACUUUGAUUAGCCUUUUAAAAAAAAGACGAGAUUUAGAGGAUGUACCGAAAAUAGUCAAUACGUUAAUUGGAUUUACUAAAGAAUGCCUAAACUUUACAAUUGAUGAGACUACGUGGCAAAUGUGUGAUUUAACACCAGAACAAGAGAAAGGAAUUGAGACUCUGAUCAAUGCAAAAAAACACGUUAGAAUGUUUGCUAAUAAGAUACGAUCUGAAGAAGCACAACUUUUGGAUGAAGAACCAAUUAAUAGAGA
RNAcentral lists this long non-coding RNA (4160 nucleotides) under Mytilus galloprovincialis (Mediterranean mussel). Lineage: Eukaryota; Metazoa; Mollusca; Bivalvia; Mytilida; Mytilidae. The record is from RNAcentral.